This 21-nucleotide microRNA is filed under the name Oryza sativa (Asian cultivated rice). RNAcentral describes it as "osa-miR5832". The record is from miRBase by way of RNAcentral. Lineage: Eukaryota; Viridiplantae; Streptophyta; Magnoliopsida; Poales; Poaceae.
UUGGCGGAGCGGUUGCUGUCA